UACGAGGGGGGCUAGCGUUGUUCGGAAUUACUGGGCGUAAAGCGCACGUAGGCGGACUAUUAAGUCAGGGGUGAAAUCCCGGGGCUCAACCCCGGAACUGCCUUUGAUACUGGUAGUCUCGAGUCCGGAAGAGGUGAGUGGAAUUCCGAGUGUAGAGGUGAAAUUCGUAGAUAUUCGGAGGAACACCAGUGGCGAAGGCGGCUCACUGGUCCGGUACUGACGCUGAGGAACGAAAGCUAGGGGAGCAAACAGG
RNAcentral lists this ribosomal RNA (253 nucleotides) under uncultured bacterium. RNAcentral's name for it is "partial 16S ribosomal RNA". It matches the Rfam family "Bacterial small subunit ribosomal RNA", at positions 524 to 776 of the family's 1533-position model. The record is from RNAcentral.